Arabidopsis lyrata subsp. lyrata is the source of this 788-nucleotide long non-coding RNA. RefSeq lists it as uncharacterized. Lineage: Eukaryota; Viridiplantae; Streptophyta; Magnoliopsida; Brassicales; Brassicaceae. The transcript has 3 exons. The record is from RefSeq and is a predicted model, not a curated record.
AAUUAUGUUUUAGGUAACCGCUCAUGGGAGUUUCUAUCAAGAGAUUGAAUGAACGAGUUGAUGAAGACAUGCCUCUUCAUUAAAUUCAUUAACAAACUUUUUACAUCAAUCGCGGAGCAUUGCGCUGAUGCGGAAGUGAUUUACAAGUUUUUGGAGGUCAAUGAGAUUGAUAAGGAAAAAUAGCUGAUCAGUGAUUUUUGGUUGUCGGAGACUUUGAUCCGAAUGAGCGACGGUGAUGAAAAUAUGAGUGGUGGAUAGAGACGCAAGGGAUCGGUGAAGUUGUUUAAUACACACAAGGGGUUUGGUUUCAUCACACCAGACGACGGUGGUGAGUGGUGACGAUCUCUUCGUUCACCAGUCCAUUAGCUCUGAAAAAUUUCGUAGCCUUGCCGUUGAUGAAGCUGUUGAGUUCAAGGUUGAGGUUGACAACGCCAGUCGUCUGAAGACUGUUGAAGUUUCUGGACCCGAGGGUGCUCCUGUUCAGUGAAAUAACGGCGGUUCAUCUGGUGGACGUGGUGGUUUUGGCUGUGGAGGUGAGGACGUGAUGGUGGAAAUUAUUAAGGAGGAUAUGGUGGUGAUGGUACUUGCUUUAGGUGUAGUGAACCAAGUUAUAUGGCGAGAGAUUGUUGUCAAGGUGGUGGAGGAUACAGUGGUGGUGGAGGUGGUUGAAGGUACGGUAUGUUGUAGGUGGAGGUGGUGGUACUUGCUUUAGUGGUUUUAUUUGUUUCGUUUAAUUUUGUACCAAUCUUAUCAUUUGUAUUAAGGAUUUUAUAACUAGAGACGUAGGU